Molecule: ribosomal RNA, 465 nt
Filed under: Vreelandella stevensii
Lineage: Bacteria; Pseudomonadati; Pseudomonadota; Gammaproteobacteria; Oceanospirillales; Halomonadaceae
Description: partial 16S ribosomal RNA
Rfam family: Bacterial small subunit ribosomal RNA
Source: RNAcentral
CCUACGGGGGGCAGCAGUGGGGAAUAUUGGACAAUGGGGGCAACCCUGAUCCAGCCAUGCCGCGUGUGUGAAGAAGGCCCUCGGGUUGUAAAGCACUUUCAGUGAGGAAGAACGCCUGGUGGUUAAUACCCAUCAGGAAAGACAUCACUCACAGAAGAAGCACCGGCUAACUCCGUGCCAGCAGCCGCGGUAAUACGGAGGGUGCGAGCGUUAAUCGGAAUUACUGGGCGUAAAGCGCGCGUAGGUGGCUUGAUAAGCCGGUUGUGAAAGCCCCGGGCUCAACCUGGGAACGGCAUCCGGAACUGUCAAGCUAGAGUGCAGGAGAGGAAGGUAGAAUUCCCGGUGUAGCGGUGAAAUGCGUAGAGGUCGGGAGGAAUACCAGUGGCGAAGGCGGCCUUCUGGACUGACACUGACACUGAGGUGCGAAAGCGUGGGUAGCAAACAGGAUUAGAUACCCUUGUAGUC